This 6340-nucleotide long non-coding RNA is filed under the name Nicotiana benthamiana. RNAcentral describes it as "long non-coding RNA (NBEN_LNC007179)". The record is from RNAcentral. Lineage: Eukaryota; Viridiplantae; Streptophyta; Magnoliopsida; Solanales; Solanaceae.
AAUAUGUUUUUUUGUAUGUCUCCUCCUAAUGCUUUGGUUGUGCUGCCUUAACCAGAAUUCUUGUUGUCGAUCUUGAUAUCCCUCUUGAAAGUGCAUAUACAUUUUCCGUGCAAGAAAAUAUAUUGCAUCAAAUAUAGUCCAAUAUUUAGGAUGUUUGUCCUUGAACUUUAUUUAUUAUAUGUUACGACCCUAAACCGUACCCGACCGUGAUGGCGCCUAUCAUGAAACAAGGCCAGCCGACACAAACCCCAAAUACAGAAACAACAUAGCACGACAUCGGGGUGUCACUAGUCAUGAGCAUCUAAACAUCCGACUAAUAGUAUGAAAAAGGAAUACACAGUGUAUUAAAUCUAUUAACAUAAAGUAAAGAUAGUAAGGAGAAGCACUGUGCUAGGAACGCCGAACAACUACCUAGUGAACUCCAAACAGCCUGUUGGAAGCAAUUAGCCCUCGCUAGCGUGACUUGAGACAAUUGAAUCUGCACACAAGGUGCAUGGAGCAAUGUGAGUACACCAACUCAGUAAGUAAUAAAAGUAAAGGCACUUGAGCAAUAAGAAACAAGUAAAACACAUCAGAAUGCUACAACGAGGCAGUGUAAAACCAGAACAAUACAAUAAAACAGUAAAAAGCUCGUAAAAUCUUCUUAGUCCAGUAAAACCUCUUUAAAACAUCUUUUAGUAGUUCAAAUGAGUGAAUAAAAACAUGGAGUAAAUAUAGAAACCAACAGAACCAAUCCCUUGAGCUAUCUCAAAAUCACUCGUAUCAGCCCAUCGGGCAAUAACAUGGUAUGACAUCAUCCCCUCGGGCUAUAUCAUAUCAUAAACUGGGUACCCACACUCACUAGGAGUGUAGAGUCUCCAGGAGGGUCCCCUUAUGACCCAAGCACAAUAUCAAGCCAUCCCGUAGCAUAACCAAUAUGCUCUCAGCCUCAUAUCAAGCCUCUUCAUAGUGUAACAACUCAGACCCUUGGCCUCAUAAUCAUAAAUCAGUAUGAAACUGCUGCGGCGCACAGCUCGGUCUGUAAUAAUCCUCACAAAACAGGCCCUCGGCCCUCCUCAGUCAGAAAUCUCUAAAAGCCACUCGGGCACAGUAAAACAUAAUGCUUAGCCCAAAAUAUCAUUUAAGAUGCCAAAACAAAGUAGAUAUGGUUGAGUUAUGAAAACAGCAUAACACAACAUGACUGAGUACGAAUAUGAAGUCAAAACAGUUAGAAAUAGUAGUAAAAAUCCCCUAAGGGUCCAAAACAGUUGGCAUGAGGCCCAAAGGCAUUCAGCCCAAAAUAUGAUGAUAGCAAAAUGUUUUAUAUCAAAUACGCGGUAAAACAGUCAUACGGGAUGGACUAAGUCACAAUCCCUAAUGAUGCACGACUCUACACUCAUCAUCUAGCAUGUGCGUCACCUCACAAUAGCACAACGAUAUGAAAUCCGAGAUUUCAUACCCUCAGGACAACAUUUACAAUCAUUACUUACCUCUAUCCGGUCCAAACUCUAGCUCACGAUGCCCUUGCCUCUUGUCUUGGCCUCAACUCACGUCGAAUUUACCCAAAAUCAUAAUCAUGACAUCAAAAUAUGCUGUGGAAUUGAAGCCCAUGCAAAAAUAAUCAAAUUACAAUAUAAAUCCUGAAAUUAACCGAACCCGACCCCUAGGCCCACAUCUCGGAAUUCGACAAAUUUUAAAUCAAUAGAUCCCUUAUUUUGCCACGAGAUCAUUCAUACCAAAAGUACCAAAAUCAGACCUCAAAUAGCCCCUCCAAUCCUUAAUCAAAGGUCUCCGAUCUCAAGUCCUCGUUUCUUCAAUAUUUGCCCAUAAAUUUCCAAAAUUUUCAAGCCUAAUCAAUGAAAUAAUACCAUAGGAAUGCGUUUUAUGUUCAAAAACCUUAUGUCAAUGAAGUUCCCUUGGAUUCCCUCUUCAAAAUCCCCCAAAAAUCUCCAAAAUCGAUUUAAAAUAGUGAAGAAUUCUGAAAAUCACGAAGGAUGGAAUAUAUACUUUAUGACCCAGGGAUUCCGCACCUGCGGUCAUUUCCCGCUUCUGCGGUCAAAUCCACCGCACCUGUAGUUUUCAUUUAUAUGACCAUUUUUGCAUCUGUGAUGCUAUGCCCGCACCAGCGCUAUCACAUGUGCGCUCCCUUAGCCGCUUUCUGCGGUUCCAGCUAAUUCUCCCUUGGCCGCUUCUGCGGCUUGCUUCUGCAUCUGCGAGAGUCGUACCUGCAGCCUCCCAACCGCAGAUGCGGUUAUGACAGCAGCCAUAAUAUUUCAGCUGCAAACUCCCAAUUUCUAAUUUUUUGUCAAACAUCCGAAAUCACCCCGAGGCCCCAGGUGUCGUGCCCCCUUCCUCCCCCCCUUCUUUUAUGGGGAAGUAAAUGUCCGGGUUUCAACAUUUAUGGUGGUAAUAACUUGUUUUCUUUUGGAAAUUGGGUAUUUUGAAGAGUCGCCAGUUAAUGCAUUACGUUGCGUUAGGGCACCUAGAGCAAUUAAUUAUUGGAUUGGUUUGUACUACUAGAGAUUUAGAGUAAGGAAUCGAAAUAAACUUGAGAGGAAGGUGUUAGGCACCUCUCUUGGUCCACAACUAUGGGUACCAGCCGAACUUAUAUUUAUGAAUUAGUCCUUUAGCAAAUAAGUAGUUGAAACAAAUAAUUGCAAAUAAAACAUGUUUGACUUUGUGUGACUCAAAUAAUAAGACAAAAAAUUUGAACGAGUUGUGUGCAUAAAAAAAGAAAGUAAAGUUUUUAAUUGAAGUCAAUUUGGGAAAGAGGGGUCCUAGGUUGGUUAGCCUACAAGAUCAUCCAACGCAAUGCCUGGUAAAUACUCCUCAAUGAGGGGCUACACGUGACAUUAACGUGUAGUGAUCAUAUCCCGUUCUACCUAAGUCCCUCUGUUUGGUAAUAGCCUAAAGAAUUCUAAUAACCUUGACAAUGCCUAUGCGUGCACUACUCGUCCCUUUCUUGUGGCCCGGGAGGUAUUUUAGGACCUCUAAAUCUAGGCGACUUGGGAAAACACAUAGGACUAAACAGCUAAAUACAGAAAGAAACAGUUAAGAGGCCCAUGUUAACCUUGACAAGUAAUGCACAUAAGCAGCAUGUCUUAAGCAAACACAAUAUCAGUUUUUAUUAGAGAAAAGACCUAAACAUGACAUUUAAGUGGGUGUCAAUGCACAGAAAUAUGCAACUUUGUUUUUAUAAACUCGAUAGUAUGGUCCUAAUCAGCUUACCUACUGAUUUUAAACUUUUAAAAUCUGGAAAACUUAAGAAAGAAAAAAAAUACAGUUAUCAGAGUAUAAGAAUUUAGAAUCGCCGCAUAGGCUAGCCUAAACGCAGAAUGGUGAUGUCCUAAGAGCAUGCUAAUUACGUUUGAUGUGGUUAAAUAAUGAGUAGUUUUUAAAACAAACUCUCGAGUUCCUAUAGGCAUGCUUUCUGGAAGUAGUGAAUCAAGGCAAUGUUUAAAAGAUUGAUUAAAGAAGCGGACAAUUGACUAUGCCAAUUUCAUAUGAAAUAACACGAAGUGGACUGACUUGUGUAACUAAAUUUACUUUAAGUUCUAUAGGCAGGAUUUCUGAUUUUUAAUUCCAAUAGGCAUGAUAUCUAAUCGUUAUGAACUGAUGUUAGAAACUUAUAGGCAUGAUAUCUACUAAAACUAAUGUAAAUACAUGAUGUAACAGAAACUAAACCCGAUCAUAUUUUAUAAGUAUGGUAUCUACUUAUGAAGUUGAUUUUUAAACCUAUAGACAUGAUUUUUAUUAUUUGAAUGACUUAAACCCUAUAAGCAUGAUUUCUAUUAUUGUAAGGCAAACAUAACAAAUAUAUUAAUAGGAUCCUAUAUGCAUGGUAAUGCUGACAUAGCAAGUAUAAAAUCCUACAGGCAUAGUUUCUACCUAUAUUACCCCCACAGAUAUGUAACAACCCACCCAUUUUCACAAAUCACCCCAAUAUUCGUUUACAAAUAAUUAUUACAAAGCAGAUGAAUAAAUUACAUAAAUAGAUAAAAGAAAAAGAAUAAAUUACCCUAUAGGGAGCCUGAAGCAGGCCCAAGUUAUUUCCCAAACCUCCACUAGCCUCAAAUGCCAAAUUCCAUAGACAAUAUUAUUGUCUAGGUGCGUCAGAGUUCCUUAAAGAUCUCAAGAUCCUGGGCAGUGCUCACACUUAGACUUUAUGACCAAAACUAAAUAAGUACAAUAUAGAAGAGCCAGCUCAAGUGCAUCAGAGUUCAGAGGGGAUCUCAUAGGGAUCUCAUGGCAGUCACACACUGGAGGGCCAGAACUUAAGGAUCUAAGAGUAGAGUGGGGUACUUAACAUAGUUUGAAAGGGUUUUAGUAAGAAAACAGUGUUUAGAGAGACUUGUUUGAAAUAGUUUUGUGAAAACAACAUAUGGAGUUAUUCAAUAAGACAAUUUGAAGCAAAAGGUAAGGUGAUCAACAAACAACAAACCAAACACAGAACCAGAAGAGGUUCAUCAGCACUCCAAGACACAGAAUCAAAUAUGUACAAAAAUUCACUCAGGGGGUAAUAGGGGAUCCGGGGCAAGUAUAGGGCACAUAGUAGGCAAAGAUACACAAAGGUACCGAAUCAGAGAAGUCCUGAAAGGGUUAAAAGGAUUAAGGUACAACAUGAACUUCAGAAUUAAUACAGAAUCAGAGAGGCUUAGGAUAGCCAACUACUUUUACACAGGAAGGUGCAUGCCAAAAAUCAGAGAAACAUAAGUAAAGAAUAGUCACAUUAGGGGUAUAGUAGGAAAGGAUUCAUGAGCAUGCUAAUUCAGAAGCACACAGUAAAGAAGACAGUGAAGUAGACAUGUUAGUUGCAGGUUGAAGAAUAAAACCAUAGACAGAAGCAUAUUAGAAACAUGACAAACUGAAGUAGUAGAAGAAGCAUAUUGUUUUUGAAACUGGAAUCGAAAUCAGCACAUGCCAGUGAAGAAAAACAGCAAGCACAAAGUGAGAGAACCCAAUUGUUAGCCUUGGCUUGCAGCAGGCUAACUUAGAACAGUAGUAAGUAACACAAAAGAGAGCAGAACAAUUUGAGCGUAAAAGAGAGUUUUGAACCAAAAUGUGUUCGUGUCUUGAUUGUUAAUGAGAGAGCAUAUAUAUAGUAGUUCUAAACUAAGUCAAACAAUGGAAGAAUCACAAUUGUACAGUAAUUAUGGAACUUAGAACCAAUUAGAGAAAAAUUAGUACAAGUACUCCCUUAAUUAAAGGAAUCAGUUCAAAUGGUAAAUACAAGUAUCAAAUAAGGAAAGAAAUCAAUGUGUAACUGGAGCAUAACAGACAAGGAAAUAAUUCAAACAUAAUAUGCAUAGAAAAAACAAAUAGGUCUAGGUUCAGAAAAACUAUAAUUAAGGAGAUAGUCAGUAAGAAUCAAGUACCAAUACAAAUAAGGUAAGCAAAUCAAUAUUGAGUAGAAAGGUAGGAAUCAAAUGUUUAAUGGAAAGUGUUUGAAGCAGACCAAGAAACAGGGAAUUCAGAAUCAAUAGAAGAAAAAUUCACGAGUCGGUGUUUAGCAUAUAAAUAAAUUAAUACAUGGAUGGUCAAGAGUCGACAUGCAACUCUAGCAAACUUGAAAGUUAAAUAAUACCCAUUCGGUGAGAAAAAUGUAGGCCUUGAUGUGAAUAGUCAAGAUGAACAUAAGCAUAUAGAAUCACUGUAAAUUCAGGCUAAGAAACUCAGUAGAAACAUAUCAAGGGAAUAUAUGCAUGAGAAAUCACAGAAACUCAAAAAUGAGAACUGGUUAGUCAUGCUGAUACACUGAAAAAAAUGAAGAACCCUAAAAAUUUAAGGCUUUCAACAUAGAUGAGUUAAAGAUGUAGUAAACUAAUAGAAUCAGUCAAAAUAUAUAGAAAUAGAAAUUUAAACACAAAGAAUCAGUUAAACAAGGUUUUAAAAAGAAGUUACAAAAACCCUAGUUUUAGAAAAAAGAUAAAAAAUACUUGAAAUCACAUGAUUCUUGUAAAGAACCUCAAGGACAGUGUAAAACAUUCAAGAAACAAACUCAAAUCGUCUUAGAUCCGAAUAGAUCUAGGAGGUAUAGAAAAAAAAUUACGGUUUCGGAAAAAACCAUAUAGAGAUGAAGAAACCUGUCCAGAAACUCAAAGAUCGUAACAAAUAUAGAAUGAUUUAGCUUGAAAUCACACUAGAAUAGCCAAGAACAAUAAGAGAAGAACCCUAGAUGCAAGUCAGCAUGGCCCUGGGCCUUUGAAGACCUUAAAGAACCAAGCAUGGCAUGAGAGAAGCCAUUGGAGGAUUAAGAGACAAUGAGAGUUCACCGGAGAUGACGGGAGAUAGGAGGUUGAUUAUUGAAGAUUAAGGUUAGGUUGAGAGUGUUUUGACAGCAGAGAGGAUUUAAUAGAGGCGG